RNAcentral lists this ribosomal RNA (564 nucleotides) under Malassezia furfur. RNAcentral describes it as "eukaryotic LSU rRNA". It matches the Rfam family "Eukaryotic large subunit ribosomal RNA", at positions 64 to 621 of the family's 3401-position model. Lineage: Eukaryota; Fungi; Basidiomycota; Malasseziomycetes; Malasseziales; Malasseziaceae. The record is from RNAcentral.
ACUAACAAGGAUUCCCCUAGUAACGGCGAGUGAAGAGGGAAGAGCUCAAAUUUGAAAGCUGGUACCUCCGGUAUCCGCGUUGUAACCUCGAGACACGUUUUCCGUGCGGCGCUAUGGACAAGUUCCUUGGAACAGGACAUCGUAGAGGGUGAAAAUCCCGUACUUGCCAUGGAUGUACCGUGCUUUGCGAUACGUGCUCUAAGAGUCGAGUUGUUUGGGAUUGCAGCUCAAAAUGGGUGGUAGACUCCAUCUAAAGCUAAAUAUCGGGGAGAGACCGAUAGCGAACAAGUACCGUGAGGGAAAGAUGAAAAGCACUUUGGAAAGAGAGUUAAAAGUACGUGAAAUUGUCGAAAGGGAAGCGCUUGAAGUCAGCCAUGCCGCUCAGGACUCAGCCUGGCUUUUGCUUGGUGUAUUUCCUGGGUAGCAAGUCAGCAUUGGUUUGGAUCGUCGGAGAAGCAUAGUCGGAAUGUGGCGCCCUCGGGCGUGUUAUAGCCUUCUAUUGGAUACGACGAUCUAGACCAAGGAACGCAGCGCGCCUUAUGGCGGGUCUUCGGACACCUCGCG